Molecule: long non-coding RNA, 1836 nt
Organism: Hemicordylus capensis (graceful crag lizard)
Lineage: Eukaryota; Metazoa; Chordata; Lepidosauria; Squamata; Cordylidae
Exons: 6
Source: RefSeq, a predicted model, not a curated record
GCUUGCAACAUGGCCAGCUGCCACAGGGGGGAGCAACAUGCAGAGCAGGCAGGGCAUGACAAUGGGUUUGAUUAUUGUCCGGUGGCAUACAGCAGGAAGGCAGACUAUAUUGAUAAUCUGUCCAGUUUGCACACAUGUAGCUCCAUCCCACUCUGUAGAGAGUCACCCAUUACCAGCAUACACACAGGACAGUGGUUGGAUUCCAUAGGCGGAACUGGGGGGAGCAGGCAGGGCAUGUGCCCUGGGCGCCACUGAGGUGGAGGUGCCACACCAGUUCCUGCCACCCUCCACCCCAUUGCCCACCUGCCCAGCCCCAGGGCCCCUCAGCUACUUGCCUCCAGCUCCGGCCUAGGAUCGGCAACGAGGCCUAGGAUCGGAGCAGCCUACAAAAUGCAAAGGUCUUCUCUCCCCGCCUCUCAGCUAAUCGGCGGGUGGGCGGGGCUUCCUCUGAGUAGGCCUCCCUGAAGCCUGAACUCGGCAGGCCCCAGAAAGCCAGGAAGGGGGCUGGCAGACCCUCCCUGCAGCAGACCAGACCAGACCAGACCAUCCAGUACAGCUUUUGCAAGUGCAUCGGACGGGCAAGGAGUGGACUGCGGACGGAGCGGAGGAAGGAAGAAGGAUUUGGCCGGGCCAGCCCAGCGAUGACGGACAAGCAAGAGGAGUCAGAGGACAAACAAUUUAACAAUAGCACCUCUGCUGAGCUGACUGGAAGAACUGCAGGCACAACCAACCAGCGCUUAGUAGCAACUACAAGCCUUCUAAUGGCCCAAAUGAAGCAGAGAUGUGCAUUUCCAUGAUUAUCAAAAAAAGCUGACAGCAUUGCUAGGGUGAGUCCUGCACCCAGAAAAACACUGGGACAGCAGUGGAGCAGGCAAACAGGUGGUGUCUGUGAAUGGAAGAUUCAUCAGCCCUGCAGAGACGGAUCCCCCGAAGUUCUAAGCAGGGAGCGGCCGCCACGUCACCACCCCCAGCAGCCCUCCUGCCUGCCUGCCUCGCUCCGGUCUCUUGCUUCCUCUUCUUGCUCUGGGUUGCCGCCGGGACUCCUGCUCUGGUGAAAGUGCUAUGAGCAGCUAACUGGCUCACGUUCAAAAGAUGCUUUUUUAAUGAACUUCCAGAACCUUAUAACUGACUGCCGCAGAAGAUUAUAUGGACCUGAUUCAGCAAAGCAAUCAUCAUCAUCAUCAUCAUCAUCAUUAUUUUUUAAAGGUUCCCAGUGUUUACAUAUUUCCCCAGCUUUGGGUCCCCAGAUGUUGUGAACAUAAGAACAGCCCUGCUGGAUCAGAACCAAGGAGGCCUCUCUAGACCAGCAUCCUGUUUCCUACAGUGGCCCACCAGAUGCCUUUGGGAAGCCACAUCACCAGGAGUUGAAGGAACACCCACUCUUCUCCGCUGCUCUCCUGCAGCCUUUAUUUGGAGGAAUCCUGCCUCUGAGCAUGGAACACUGUGGGACGACCACUCCCAUCAUCCCCUGCCAUGUUGUGGUUGUUGGAAGUGAAGGACUUUGCGCAGUCUCUUGUCUCAAUGACAGUGGAGGACAGACGAGUGACAGACGAGAGGGCUAGAGGGUCAAGACAUUGGUCAUCCCUUCUCUACUGCUCUGACACUAUCCCUUUGGAAUGUAGAUUGCUAAUCUUAGGGAGUUCCUUCCUUCCAGUCACUUCCUUUCUCUCUCUUCUCUUCCUGUUCCUUUUACCUUGCAGCAUGCAAGCUCCUCUCCCCUGCACCAUGUGUGCAGAGAUGCAGAAUCCAUCUGUAUCCAGCUAGAUAGAUAGAUUAGAGACCCUAACUCCUCACUUUCCUAUCUAGAAUGGAGUUCUCUAAUAAAUACCAUUUAUA